AUGCUCGGUGGGGCUCUAUCACUUGCACAUGUCAGCUUCUGUGGGACGUCCACACCUACCUGACGAUUGCUUGCUAGGUUUUGUUAGCC
Molecule: small RNA, 89 nt
Filed under: Xanthomonas oryzae
Lineage: Bacteria; Pseudomonadati; Pseudomonadota; Gammaproteobacteria; Lysobacterales; Lysobacteraceae
Description: sX9
Source: RNAcentral